CAGUAGCCGCGGUAAUACGAAGGGUGCAAGCGUUAAUCGGAAUUACUGGGCGUAAAGCGUGCGUAGGCGGUGAGUUAAGUCUGCUGUGAAAUCCCCGGGCUCAACCUAGGAAUGGCAGUGGAUACUGGCUCGCUAGAGUGUGUCAGAGGAUGGUGGAAUUCCCGGUGUAGCGGUGAAAUGCGUAGAGAUCGGGAGGAACAUCAGUGGCGAAGGCAGCGACCUGGUCCAUUACUGACGCUGAGGCGCGACAGCGUGGGGAGCAAACAGGAUUAGAUACCCCCGUAGUCCCUGUCUCUUAUAC
RNAcentral lists this ribosomal RNA (301 nucleotides) under uncultured bacterium. RNAcentral describes it as "partial 16S ribosomal RNA". It matches the Rfam family "Bacterial small subunit ribosomal RNA", at positions 509 to 807 of the family's 1533-position model. The record is from RNAcentral.